Molecule: long non-coding RNA, 880 nt
Organism: Trifolium pratense (red clover)
Lineage: Eukaryota; Viridiplantae; Streptophyta; Magnoliopsida; Fabales; Fabaceae
Exons: 4
Source: RefSeq, a predicted model, not a curated record
AGCUUCAAUCUCCGUGUGCUUUUUUUUUUAUCAGGUUUGGCGAAAGAGAAGAUUGGUGGAUUUAGAAAUUGUCACCACAUAUGAAACGAAGAACCCUAAAAUCAAAGGAAUUGGAAAUUGAUAGUCACAGAAACUUCUCUCAACUCGCUAAUUCUCUCCGCCGUUCAGUCAUCAUUUCACCGUUGAUGACUCCUCCUUCAAUUGGUAAACCCUAUGAAUCUUGUGUCCAGGAACAAAAAGAUACAAGUUAUUUCAAUCUUGAAGGGUCAUUGCCAAGACCUUCUUGCUUCCAUGCAGGAAGCUGAUAUUGCUUGUCCUAGUAUCGUGCCGGUGCAUAAAUUCGAUGUUAAGAAUGAGUAUGAGAUGAUUUAAAACUAUAAGGUUCUUCACUAUCAUGCUACAAAUCCUUAAGUCUUUUGUUUUGUUCUUCAAAAUACAUGACAAACAUCUGGAACAUUUGAGUCAAUUGACAGUGCUUUUGGGGUUUGUAAUGAUAUUAGUGUCAUAUCGAUUUACAGGAACAACAUCUAGAACAUUUGAGUCAAUUGACACAAAAUGAAGACAGUCGAAGAAGAUGAUGAAAUUAAGAUGCACAUCAUUGCCACUAUUUCAGUACUUGUACCAAAAUAUCUUGCUUAUGCUAGAUUGGUAUAAUUGAAUCUUUUAGCAUCUAUAUAUGGUUUUUUUACAAUUGAUAUGCAAUCAUUUACAUAGGUUGUAGGUAGGUGAAUUUCUAUUAAACUGGUGUAUUUAAAGUUUUCCUAGAUUCAUAGGCAUAUUGGUCCAAGGAUGCAGUACGAGUUAUACUAAUGACAUUAUUUUUGUCGCAUUUCUAAGUUAUUAAUUGUAUAAAUACAAUUGUGUUCUUGGCUUUCUUUUA